Molecule: ribosomal RNA, 198 nt
Filed under: uncultured bacterium
Lineage: Bacteria
Description: partial 16S ribosomal RNA
Rfam family: Bacterial small subunit ribosomal RNA
Source: RNAcentral
UGCAACCCGACUGCACGAAGCUGGAAUCGCUAGUAAUCGCGGAUCAACAUGCCGCGGUGAAUACGUUCCCGGGUCUUGUACACACCGCCCGUCACACCAUGGGAGCCGGAAAUGCCCGAAGCCUGUGACCCAACCCGCGAGGGGGGGGAGCAGUCGAAGGCGGGGCCGGUGACUGGGGUGAAGUCGUAACAAGGUACC